GCCAGGCAUGGUGGCAUGUGCCUGUAAUCCCAGCUACUCGGGAGGCUGAGGCAGGAGAAUUGCUUGAACCCAGGAGGAGGAGGUUGCAGUGAGCCAAGAUCGUGCCACUGCACUCCAGCCUGGGUGACAGAGUAAGACCCUGUCUCAA
This 148-nucleotide non-coding RNA is filed under the name Pan paniscus (pygmy chimpanzee). Lineage: Eukaryota; Metazoa; Chordata; Mammalia; Primates; Hominidae. The record is from Rfam by way of RNAcentral. RNAcentral also lists the same sequence under 1 other name.